UACGUAGGGUGCAAGCGUUAAUCGGAAUUACUGGGCGUAAAGCGUGCGCAGGCGGCUUUGCAAGACAGACGUGAAAUCCCCAGGCUCAACCUGGGAACUGCGUCUGAUACUGGAUGGCUUGAAUUCGGGAGAGGGAUGCAGAAUUCCAGGUGUAGCGGUGAAAUGCGUAGAUAUCUGGAGGAAUACCGGUGGCGAAGGCGGCAUCCUGGACCGACAUUGACGCUGAGGAGCGAAAGCUAGGGGAGCAAACGGG
Molecule: ribosomal RNA, 253 nt
Filed under: uncultured bacterium
Lineage: Bacteria
Description: partial 16S ribosomal RNA
Rfam family: Bacterial small subunit ribosomal RNA
Source: RNAcentral